Molecule: ribosomal RNA, 289 nt
Filed under: Helicops angulatus
Lineage: Eukaryota; Metazoa; Chordata; Lepidosauria; Squamata; Dipsadidae
Description: partial 12S ribosomal RNA
Source: RNAcentral
AAAGACUUGACGGUACUUCACAACAACCUAGAGGAGCCUGUCUAAUAACCGAUACCCCACGAUUAACCACACCUACCCUAGCCUAACCAGUCUAUAUACCGCCGUCGCCAGCCUACCUUAUGAAAGAAAUAAAGUAAGCACAAUAAGACCACCCCUAACACGACAGGUCGAGGUGUAACCAAUGAGUAGGAAAAAGAUGGACUACAUUUUCUAACACAGAAUACACGAAUAAACUAUGAAACUAGAAACUGAAGACGGAUUUAGCAGUAUGAUAAGAAUAGAAUGCCUA